RNAcentral lists this ribosomal RNA (115 nucleotides) under Ramularia aplospora. Its description in RNAcentral is "partial 18S ribosomal RNA". It matches the Rfam family "Eukaryotic small subunit ribosomal RNA", at positions 1719 to 1831 of the family's 1831-position model. The record is from RNAcentral. Lineage: Eukaryota; Fungi; Ascomycota; Dothideomycetes; Mycosphaerellales; Mycosphaerellaceae.
CUCAGGGAGGUCGGCAACGACCACCCAGAGCCGGAAAGUUGGUCAAACUCGGUCAUUUAGAGGAAGUAAAAGUCGUAACAAGGUCUCCGUAGGUGAACCUGCGGAGGGAUCAUUA